GACAAAGUGCCAGAGUGGUUAAUGGGUUAGACUUGAAUUUCUAUAUUCAGUCAUCUAAUGGCUUCGGCCGCGCAGGUUCGAUCCCUGUCUUUGUCG
Molecule: transfer RNA, 96 nt
Filed under: Westerdykella ornata
Lineage: Eukaryota; Fungi; Ascomycota; Dothideomycetes; Pleosporales; Sporormiaceae
Rfam family: tRNA
About the family: Transfer RNA (tRNA) molecules are approximately 80 nucleotides in length. Their secondary structure includes four short double-helical elements and three loops (D, anti-codon, and T loops).
Source: Rfam by way of RNAcentral